AGACGGCUCAUUGGACGAUACCCACCAGAAUGGGUCAUAAAGUCAGCAAUAAGUGACAAAUGCCGAGUACUGACAGAAAUACCAUAAGACUUGAAUACAUGAUUUACCUCUCUAAUAAGGGUUUCCCUGGCGGCUUCCACUCCGUAAGUUCUCAGCAUAGCAUGAAUGUUAUUGGAAUAUAGAUACCUAACAUCCAAUUGAUCUUGCAUUUGCCAGAAAGUAUUGAAAUCCACCCCAGUUGCAUGCAAUGCAGGAACCUUUCCUUUUUCUGUAGGCUUAAUAUCAACCCUUUCCUUCGGAUUUUCCCCAUAGUAAAUCACUUGAUUUUCUUUGCAAUCAGUCACUCGACAUUGCUCAAUCUUCCCAGGGUUCUGGAUAUAAACCUUCUUCGCCGUCUUCUUAGCAAUCUCAACCAGCAAAAUAUGAGGCUCAUUGAUGAAUUUAAAGUGGACCUCAAAGUGCAUUCCCUUGGCUUCCACAUAGAUUGCUCUAUCAAAGUCCUUUUUCACUAAUUUCGGCCUAUUCUUCUGCUUGGCCUUUUGUUUAUUCUUCUUAUCCCUUGACUUGGGUUUGGAAUGGAUUUCACCUGUGUUCUUUGAGUUGGGCUUUGAGGGCUUCCUAUGUAGUGGACUUUCUGAGGCUUCAUUGUCAAGCAUAGCAUCCUUUCUAAUGUCAAUCUCAUUAUCACCCUGGUCAAUUUCGCUUUCAAAUCCAGAAGACUCCUCGCUGGCUGUAGACUCCCCAUCAUUCAGAUGCUCCUCAAAGCCAUCGUCAUAAUCCAUCUCAUCUGUAGCUUGAAUCUUUCUUUUCUCUGCAUCUAAACCAAGAUCCUCGGCCCUUUCACCAUCAUCAUCAUCAUCAUUAUCCUCAUCAUUUUCUCCCUUUUGUAAUCUAUCUCCAGAAUAAUCUUCAUCUGCCUCACUUGGAGCCCUUGACCGUGAGUCUGGCAAAAAAUUUUUGAUGCCACUAAUUCUAGAAAGCAAAAGCAUAUGAUUUUGUAUAGCGUCCUCUAACUCCCUUACAAAAACAACCUCUAACGUUUCUUCCCAAUGUUCUACUGAUACAUUGGCAUAUUGUGGGUAGUGUGCAGGUCUGUAAAGCUUCAUCUUAAGCUUAUAAAUUUUACAAAUAUCACUAUCCUGAGUAGACAUCCGUGUAACAGAUACAUCCAUAUCCUCCACUAUGUCUGCCACAGUGAUCUUCUUCAAUUUAUCAGCAAGACACUCAGCAUCCUCCUUUCUUUGCCCCUUUUGCAGGGGACAGGUCAUAAUUGGUGUUUUAAUAUCACUUGAAGCAGUCAUCAGGAUCUCCUGGAGACGAGGAAUUCCAAGUGUGACAUUCAUUUCACCUCGCCCAGCCAGAUGGAAGGUAUUCAGAGUCAUCUGCGCUGAUGGUUCUCCUACAGACUGAGCAGCUAGCACACCAACUGGUUCUCCAGGCUGUGCAAGGCUCAAGAGGAACUUC
RNAcentral lists this unclassified non-coding RNA (1464 nucleotides) under Hevea brasiliensis (rubber tree). The record is from RNAcentral. Lineage: Eukaryota; Viridiplantae; Streptophyta; Magnoliopsida; Malpighiales; Euphorbiaceae.